GGUUAUGGAGAGGUGACAAGUAACAAGCAAAUUUCAUAUCUGCGUAUUUUCUGAUUUUCAUACAAAUUGUGUAGUACCCAUUUGUCAAGCUUUUUUGGUUUUCCGAUCGCAUGCAAAUGGUUGCAGACAGUUUUCUGGUAAACUUGAAGUUCUUUUUCCAGUUCUCAAGUG
Molecule: long non-coding RNA, 171 nt
Organism: Octopus sinensis (East Asian common octopus)
Lineage: Eukaryota; Metazoa; Mollusca; Cephalopoda; Octopoda; Octopodidae
Exons: 3
Source: RefSeq, a predicted model, not a curated record